UACGAAGGGUGCGAGCGUUGUUCGGAAUUAUUGGGCGUAAAGGGUUCGUAGGCGGGAGAAUAAGUUAAGUGUGAAAGACCUGGGCUCAACCUGGGAGUGGCACUUAAAACUGUUUUUCUUGAGUCUCAGAGAGGGUGGUGGAAUUGCUGGUGUAGGAGUGACAUCCGUAGAGAUCAGCAGGAACAUCAGAGGCGAAGGCGACCACCUGGCUGAAGACUGACGCUGAGGAACGAAAGCGUGGGGAGCAAACAGG
This 253-nucleotide ribosomal RNA is filed under the name uncultured bacterium. RNAcentral describes it as "partial 16S ribosomal RNA". It matches the Rfam family "Bacterial small subunit ribosomal RNA", at positions 524 to 776 of the family's 1533-position model. The record is from RNAcentral.